UACAGAGGUCCCGAGCGUUGUCCGGAUUCACUGGGCGUAAAGGGUGCGUAGGCGGUCGGGUAAGUCUGAUGUGAAAUCUCACAGCUUAACUGUGAAACUGCAUUGGAUACUAUUCGGCUUGAGGCCUGGAGGGGGGACUGGAAUUCUCGGUGUAGCAGUGAAAUGCGUAGAUAUCGAGAGGAACACCAGUGGCGAAGGCGAGUCCCUGGACAGGUCCUGACGCUGAGGCACGAAAGCUAGGGGAGCAAACAGG
RNAcentral lists this ribosomal RNA (253 nucleotides) under uncultured bacterium. RNAcentral describes it as "partial 16S ribosomal RNA". It matches the Rfam family "Bacterial small subunit ribosomal RNA", at positions 524 to 776 of the family's 1533-position model. The record is from RNAcentral.